Paramormyrops kingsleyae is the source of this 113-nucleotide small nuclear RNA. The record is from Ensembl. Lineage: Eukaryota; Metazoa; Chordata; Actinopteri; Osteoglossiformes; Mormyridae.
GUGUGUUUGAAUGGGGGAAAGGUUAGCACUCCCCAUGACAAACAUGGAAGAGGACCUAGUGACCAGUUAGGUAAUUUGGGUCCAGAGAGUAAUAGUCCAGACCAGGAUUUUGU